RNAcentral lists this transfer RNA (83 nucleotides) under Parcubacteria group bacterium. RNAcentral describes it as "tRNA-Leu". It matches the Rfam family "tRNA". Rfam says of the family: Transfer RNA (tRNA) molecules are approximately 80 nucleotides in length. The record is from RNAcentral.
GCCGAAGUGGUGGAAUGGUAUACACGUAGCGUUCAGGACGCUAUGCCCGUAAGGGCUUGUGGGUUCAAAUCCCACCUUCGGCA